This 506-nucleotide ribosomal RNA is filed under the name uncultured bacterium. RNAcentral's name for it is "partial 16S ribosomal RNA". It matches the Rfam family "Bacterial small subunit ribosomal RNA", at positions 30 to 523 of the family's 1533-position model. The record is from RNAcentral.
AUUGAACGCUGGCGGCAGGCCUAACACAUGCAAGUCGAGCGGCAGCGGAAAGUAGCUUGCUACUUUGCCGGCGAGCGGCGGACGGGUGAGUAAUGUCUGGGAAACUGCCUGAUGGAGGGGGAUAACUACUGGAAACGGUAGCUAAUACCGCAUAACGUCGCAAGACCAAAGAGGGGGACCUUCGGGCCUCUUGCCAUCAGAUGUGCCCAGAUGGGAUUAGCUAGUAGGUGGGGUAACGGCUCACCUAGGCGACGAUCCCUAGCUGGUCUGACAGGAUGACCAGCCGCACAGGGACUGAGGCACGGUCCAGACUCCUACGGGAGGCAGCAUUGGAGAAUAUUGCACAAUGGGCGCAAGCCUGAUGCAGCCAUGCCGCGUGUAUGAAGAAGGCCUUCGGGUUGUAAAGUACUUUCAGCGGGGAGGAAGGCGUUGAGGUUAAUAACCUCAGCGAUUGACGUUACCCGCAGAAGAAGCACCGGCUAACUCCGUGCCAGCAGCCGCAGUAA